This 450-nucleotide ribosomal RNA is filed under the name uncultured Glomeromycotina. RNAcentral describes it as "SSU rRNA". It matches the Rfam family "Eukaryotic small subunit ribosomal RNA", at positions 569 to 1016 of the family's 1831-position model. Lineage: Eukaryota; Fungi; Glomeromycota. The record is from RNAcentral.
AGCAGCCGCGGUAAUUCCAGCUCCAAUAGCGUAUAUUAAAGUUGUUGCAGUUAAAAAGCUCGUAGUUGAAUUUCGGGAUUGACACAUCGGUCGUGCCUUAAGGGGUGUGAACUGGUGUAGUCAAUUUCUCACCUUCUGGAGAACCGCGAUGUCCUUAAUUGGGUGCCGCGAGGAACCAGGACCUUUACUUUGAAAAAAUUAGAGUGUUUAAAGCAGGCAUUUUUGCUUGAAUACAUUAGCAUGGAAUAAUAAAAUAGGACGGCAUGAUUCUAUUUUGUUGGUUUCUAGGAUCACCGUAAUGAUUAAUAGGGAUAGUUGGGGGCAUUAGUAUUCAAUUGUCAGAGGUGAAAUUCUUGGAUUUAUUGAAGACUAACUACUGCGAAAGCAUUUGCCAAGGAUGUUUUCAUUAAUCAAGAACGAAAGUUAGGGGAUCGAAGACGAUCAGAUACC